GCCCACGCAGUGACGCACACCAAAAUGCAAAUUUGGAAACGCACUCUUACAGGUGCCGGGGCUUCUCCCGUUUUGAAGUAGACGGGAGAAGG
This 92-nucleotide transfer RNA is filed under the name Cyrtodactylus muangfuangensis. Its description in RNAcentral is "tRNA-Cys". The record is from RNAcentral. Lineage: Eukaryota; Metazoa; Chordata; Lepidosauria; Squamata; Gekkonidae.